CAGUAGAUCAAUUACAUUAGGAAAAGACCAUUGUCAAAAAAACAUGUUAGUUUAUAACAAGUAGCCACAGACUUCUAAAAAAUAAAGCCGAACAUGGUUAAAGAAUACAGCAACAUUGGAACUUCAAACUUGAUAUAUGAACAAACAAGUAGACAGCAAUAGCAAAAUCUUCUCAGUGUGCUAUGUAGAUCUAAAAGUGUGCUCUGUAAUACUAACAAUAUCUGGAUAUAACAAAAUGCUCAAUAAAGCUUCCAGAACACCACUAAACCAGAUAGCAACAGUAACAUGGUUAAUAUGUAUUUCAUGGCACCGUCCAGUGGUAUAAACAUACUGCAGCGAACAAUUAUAGCUAAAUGCCUCCGUUUCUAGGCAACAUGAGCUGUUCUGAACAGA
This 393-nucleotide long non-coding RNA is filed under the name Miscanthus lutarioriparius. Its description in RNAcentral is "MluLR15001". Lineage: Eukaryota; Viridiplantae; Streptophyta; Magnoliopsida; Poales; Poaceae. The record is from RNAcentral.